This 2851-nucleotide long non-coding RNA is filed under the name Macaca mulatta (Rhesus monkey). RNAcentral's name for it is "lncRNA (ENSMMUG00000055607.1)". Lineage: Eukaryota; Metazoa; Chordata; Mammalia; Primates; Cercopithecidae. The record is from RNAcentral.
CACAGCAGCGUGACAACAGACUAAUACAGACGUGGUCUCACUAUGUUGCCCGGGUGGUCUCGAACUCCCUGGGCUCAAACGGUCUACCUACCUCAGCCUCCCCAAGUGUUGGGAUUACAGGAACUUUAAGGUUCUUGACACUCCACAGAACAGUGUGCUGGCUCCUGGUAGCGAAGACACCGUGUUAACCCACCUGAUGGACAGAAAGUGCUGCUCCCGUGCCUGGUGAUGGCAGGAAAGGAGUCGCUGCAGCAACUCUGGUCACCGGGGCUUGGAUCCUUCGAGGAUGAAGGUCUGAGUCAUCCAGAAACCAACAGCCUAGCCCAGCUGCAUUGCUGUCCAGAGUAAGGAGGGUCUAAAAUGAGUGGUGAGAAAGGAGGUGAAGGACACUACUUACAGCCUUGAGACCAGCAGCAGCGGUGGAGACUGUACUUAGACUUGUCCCACCAACCCUACUGUGUAUUUUUUUUAGAGAGGGUACAACCAACCACCAAUGUGAAGAAUCGGUCCCAGGACAAGGUGGAUGCGGGGGCUGAGUGGGUCUGAGUCGUGCAAGCAGCAGGCAUAGAGUGGGCCUCUUGUCUCAGGGGCCUUGGUCUCUGCUGCUGGCAUUCUCUGGGCAGAGGUGCCCGCUUGGCUAGCGCCGGGGAGCUUGCAUCCCCAGGAACAGCCCACAGGAACCUGUGGCCAUGUACCUCAGUUUCCUGAACCUUGGUGGGGCAAUUCAGAGGGAGAUCCUGACCUGAUGCUUUUGAUUCUCAGCAUCCCUGAGGCCAAAUCGCUCCUGCUGUGACUUGAUUUGGUUGUGUAAACCAAAACUAAAAUUCUAAGCCACCCGACUGACUGAAUGGACCCAUGGACCCCCUUCUUGGCCAAAGGGACUCAAACAAACCUGAAAAAUUAGUUCAGACCGUAUGGGAAGGGAGGGGUCAGACACGCGUCGUUAUAAGCCCUCCUGCCUUUGGAGUCCAGGCACAGCUGACCAGCACGACAUUAAAACAGAGGCCUUAAGAUCGACAAACAGACUCUUGGCAGCAAUAAGAUACCAAAAUUCCAGCCUGACUCUAAUAUAGUGUCACAUGACAGAUAGCAGACCCUGAAGGAAAUCAAAGUAUUUACCCGAAAAUAUAUUUUUGACAUGGUCCUGCACAGCUGUCUCUUGUGGGGGAAAUUUGCCUCCUGUAGAGAAUCUCCUUCCCUUACUGGGUCUUUUCCAGAGAGCCUGAUAACCUUUGAAAAGUCUCAACCGGAAAUAUUUGCCAUCUAUUGCCUCUAAGCGCAGCCACCUAUGAGACUUAUCCACAUAAUAAAAACCUUGGUCUCCACAACCCCUUACCUUGUAUCUUAACCCAGACAUUCCUUUCUACAGAUGCCAGGUCUUUAGGCAAUAACUUAACUCUUUCAACCAAUUGCCAAUCAGAACCUUUGAAGGCACCUGUGACCAAUAAGUCCCCUGCUUCCAAUUGUCCUGGCUUUCCAACCCAACUACUGUAUACUUCAUAUGUAUCGACUGAUGUCUUCUAUCUACCGGAAACUGAAACAUAUAAGGCCAAGCUGUAACCCAACCCCUUGGGGCACAUGUUCUCAGGAGGUCCUGAGACUGACUCACAGGUCACAGCUCUCACACUGGACUCUGAACAAAUGUCUUCAAAUAUUUCACAGAAUUUGGCUUUUUCUGUCAACAGUGGUGUAAGCAAUUAAUUUCAAAGGGUAGCAACAAUUCCAUGCCCUUCGGUUUCUCUGAAACCUCUUUUGCUUCUAUAAUAGGAAAUGUUUAUUUGGAAACGCAAGGAAUGACGCACUUGAUGUUGUGCAUGUUGGAACAAGCUGAUUGCAUAAGAUGAGGAGUGGAGGACUAUGUCCCAGGGUCUACUGGAGUCUGUGCCCUCUAACCUGGAGGAAGACUUUCAGGACCCAUACAUGGGGUCGUUCUGUCUUUACAGAACGUGUCCCAGGCAUGUAUGGAAACACAACAUUGGGAGCAGAGAUCGCCUGUGUUUAGGCUGUGACUAUAUAGCUAGUCAUGACAUUUCUGUGAUAGGGUAUAGAUAUAUAUGUUCAAAUUCUCUAGGAGGCUGGGUGUGGUGGCUAAAACCUGUUAUCCCAGCACUUUGGGAGGCCAAGGCAGGUGGAUCACCUGAAGUCAGAAGCUGGAGACCAGCCUGCCCAACAUGGUGAAACCCUGUCUCUCCUAAAAAUACAAAAUUAGCCGGGUGUGGUGGCACACGCCUGUAGUCCCAGCUACUCAGAAGGCUGAGGCAGGAGAAUCCCUUGAACCCAGGAGGUGGAGGUUGCAGUGAGCCGAGAUCGCACCAUUGCACUCCAGCCUGGGCAAAAAUAAUGAAAUUCUGUCUCAAAAAAAAAAAAAAAAAUUAUCCAGGAGAUGCCAAGCUGUUUUCCAAAGUAUUGUUGUAAUUUACACUUUUAUCAGCAGCGGAAGAAAGCUCAUCGCUCUUCAUCCCUGCCAACUUACUCUUUUCUGACUUAAAAUUUCUGCCACCCUGAUGGGUUGGAAAUGGCAUUUCAUUUCGGUUUAAUUUGCAUUUUCCUUAUCACUAAUGCAGUUGAGCAUCUUUUUCAUUAAUUUAUUUGCCAUUUGUGCUAAUUCUGUACAUCUCUGUUUAUUUCUUUUGCCCAUUUUUAUGUUUGUUUUUUUAUCAUUUUUAUUGUGUCACAGGAUUCUUAGGAAAGACAACAUGUAUGAAAAUGUGUAUGUCUUUUGUCAGUUAUACGUAUUGCAAAUAUUUUUGCAUAACUUUACAGUAUUUUUUGUAUUGUAGUCAAAUGUAUCAACCUUUUCUGUUACAGUUUGCAUUUUUGCCCUAUUAAAGAUAUUCUUUCUCUAGAACCA